ACUGUGAAGUCACAAGAGGCCCUGAGCUCUGUGGGCCCCAGGUGCCCCGGGAAAACUUGGGGGAGAAUGGGCAUCCCACCCCAGCACUUUCUAGGAAGAAGGGCAGCAUUUUGAAGGGCUGGAAGUAGAGGAAGGAGGUUGCGGGUAGAAGACUCCAUACUUUCUGUGACGCCUAUUCCUUAGGUAGGAACUUAGGAACCUCAGUCAGAGGCAUGGCUUGCCUGGGCCUCUGGGUGCAGCUGCACAGAUUCAAGCAGCCUGAAGGAAAGGUGACUGACAGCUAAUGAUCUGAAAAGAACUUGUCUCAACUCAACGUCAUUCCUGGCAUUAUCGAACAAAGCAAUAAACCUCACAGAAUGGAAGCUACAGUGUCCAGGGCCAGCUCUGCUAAGCUUGUGAUGAAUGUUUUCUCAGUAUCCUAUGCUGAAAACAGGUAGAUACUAAUAUCGAUCUUCAAGGGAGGGCUGUUGAGUAUUGAAUAAGACAAAAACAUGGAAGCAAUCAGCACCAUGCUGGAAUCAAGGCUAUCUGUAAUCACAGGGCUAUUUGAAAAAGAGAAGAAAAGGUGUCUUGAAAUUCAACCAACAUGUUUCAAUUAUUUGCUCCUAAGAACAACAGAAGUUUCAACAUUCUGCCAACAGAGUAACUCCUGGAAGAUUGGCACAGAAGAAGGCACAAGGAGAGCCUUUAUAUAACCAAAGAUAUUUUUGGACCAUGAAUUCAGAAAUUCUCGGAGCCACCCAUCAGUGCCUGAGCUUCAGUGAGUCCAUAUCCCAUGUCACCCACGGCAAAGGAGACUCUAAGACUUCUGAAGACUAAAGUUACAGAACCCAAAUUUGGCAACUGUCUGCAUCUGAACAACAGAAGUUUCAACAUUCUGCCAACAGAGUAACUCCUGGACGAUUGGCACAGAAGAAGGCACAAGGCAAAUACCCAUCUCUGUACACCCUGUGCUACUGUGUCAUGUGCUGCUCCAGGCAACUCCAAUGGAUUGGCCACCCUGGCCAAUGUGUUCUAGUAUGUUACGUUUAUGUUCCCCUGCUUUCUACAAUCCUGUUCAAAGAGUUGCUGACUUAACCACAGAGAGGAUUCCAGAACCUGAGACACAGAAUAAACUUGAGCAAUCAUAGUCCAUCCACUUCAUUGUCUCAUCAAAAACCAAAGGUCCAGUGAAGCUCUGGAACUCAACGCUGUAAAGGAGCGAAGGAGCUUCUAUACAGAGCCUGGAUGCCUGUCUCCUUAUCCUACUUCAGUGGACUUGACUGCAAUCCGGAUUAUGCUGUUUUCUAAGCAUUUAAAAUAAAAUAAAAAGUAUAAUAGUGUGAUAAGUUCUUUCACAAAGCAAGCAAUCACAUUUAUGUUUCUACUUACAUUUGGGUUUUCCAAAUAUGUGUGUGUGUGUGUGUGUGUGUGUGUGUGUGUGUAUGUAGACUUUAAACAUGGUGCAUCCAUCAUGUUGCACUAAAUCAAAACCACCAAAUAAUGAUGUAGAACUAAUAAAUCAAAACCAUCAAAUAAUGACAUAGAAAUCCAAUUCUCCCACCUUACACCCAUUAAGAUGGCUACU
This 1567-nucleotide long non-coding RNA is filed under the name Homo sapiens (human). RNAcentral's name for it is "PREDICTED lncRNA (TCONS_00067680)". Lineage: Eukaryota; Metazoa; Chordata; Mammalia; Primates; Hominidae. The record is from RNAcentral.